GUCCACGCCCUAAACGAUGUCAACUGGUUGUUGGGGGAGUGAAAUCCCUUAGUAACGAAGCUAACGCGUGAAGUUGACCGCCUGGGGAGUACGGUCGCAAGAUUAAAACUCAAAGGAAUUGACGGGGACCCGCACAAGCGGUGGAUGAUGUGGAUUAAUUCGAUGCAACGCGAAAACCUUACCUACCCUUGACAUGUCCAGAAUCCUGCAGAGAUGCGGGAGUGCCCGAAAGGGAAUUGGAACACAGGUGCUGCAUGGCUGUCGU
This 265-nucleotide ribosomal RNA is filed under the name uncultured bacterium. RNAcentral describes it as "partial 16S ribosomal RNA". It matches the Rfam family "Bacterial small subunit ribosomal RNA", at positions 793 to 1055 of the family's 1533-position model. The record is from RNAcentral.